UGAGGAAUAUUGGUCAAUGGGCGAAAGCCUGAUCCAGCCAUGCCGCGUGAGUGACGAAGGCCUUAGGGUUGUAAAACUCUUUCGUCGGGGACGAUAAUGACGGUACCCGAAGAAGAAGCUCCGGCUAACUUCGUGCCAGCAGCCGCGGUAAUACGAAGGGAGCUAGCGUUGUUCGGAAUCACUGGGCGUAAAGCGCACGUAGGCGGAUAGUUAAGUCAGAGGUGAAAUCCCGGAGCUCAACUUCGGAACUGCCUUUGAUACUGGCAAUCUAGAGUCCGGAAGAGGUUAGUGGAAUUCCCAGUGUAGAGGUGAAAUUCGUAGAUAUUGGGAAGAACACCAGUGGCGAAGGCGGCUAACUGGUCCGGUACUGACGCUGAGGUGCGAAAGCGUGGGGAGCAAACAGGAUUAGAUACCCAAGUAGUCCCUGAGCGGGCUGGCAAGGCGCAU
Molecule: ribosomal RNA, 447 nt
Filed under: uncultured bacterium
Lineage: Bacteria
Description: bacterial SSU rRNA
Rfam family: Bacterial small subunit ribosomal RNA
Source: RNAcentral